GCGCCAUUAGUUAAGUGGUAGAACGUAUCGUUGCCAACGAUAAGACGGGAGUUCGAUUCUCCCAUGGCGCA
RNAcentral lists this transfer RNA (71 nucleotides) under Candidatus Pacearchaeota archaeon. RNAcentral's name for it is "tRNA-Gly". It matches the Rfam family "tRNA". Rfam says of the family: Transfer RNA (tRNA) molecules are approximately 80 nucleotides in length. Their secondary structure includes four short double-helical elements and three loops (D, anti-codon, and T loops). Further hydrogen bonds mediate the characteristic L-shaped molecular structure. tRNAs have two regions of fundamental functional importance: the anti-codon, which is responsible for specific mRNA codon recognition, and the 3' end, to which the tRNAs corresponding amino acid is attached (by aminoacyl-tRNA synthetases). tRNAs cope with the degeneracy of the genetic code in two manners: having more than one tRNA (with a specific anti-codon) for a particular amino acid; and 'wobble' base-pairing, i.e. permitting non-standard base-pairing at the 3rd anti-codon position. The record is from RNAcentral. Lineage: Archaea; Nanobdellati.